This 352-nucleotide ribosomal RNA is filed under the name Ochodaeus solskyi. Its description in RNAcentral is "SSU rRNA". It matches the Rfam family "Eukaryotic small subunit ribosomal RNA", at positions 1172 to 1489 of the family's 1831-position model. The record is from RNAcentral. Lineage: Eukaryota; Metazoa; Arthropoda; Insecta; Coleoptera; Ochodaeidae.
AGGAGUGGAGCCUGCGGCUUAAUUUGACUCAACACGGGAAACCUCACCAGGCCCGGACACCGGAAGGAUUGACAGAUUGAGAGCUCUUUCUUGAUUCGGUGGGUGGUGGUGCAUGGCCGUUCUUAGUUGGUGGAGCGAUUUGUCUGGUUAAUUCCGAUAACGAACGAGACUCUAGCCUGCUAACUAGGCGUACUUUCGACAUCCCAAAGGCCCGCCGGUCCGGCGGUCGUCGCGGCCGCGCGCGGUUUUUACUGUCGGCGUACAAUUAAUUCUUCUUAGAGGGACAGGCGGCUUCUAGCCGCACGAGAUUGAGCAAUAACAGGUCUGUGAUGCCCUUAGAUGUUCUGGGCCG